GAUGAAGAACGUAGCGAAAUGCGAUACGUAAUGUGAAUUGCAAAUUCAGUGAAUCAUCGAGUCUUUGAACGCACAUUGCGCCCCCUGGUAUUCCGGGGGGCAUGCCUGUCCGAGCGUCAUUGCUGCCCUCAAGCACGGCUUGUGUGUUGGGCCCCGUCCUCCGAUCCCGGGGGACGGGCCCGAAAGGCAGCGGCGGCACCGCGUCCGGUCCUCGAGCGUAUGGGGCUUUGUCACCCGCUCUGUAGGCCCGGCCGGCGCUUGCCGAUCAACCCAAAUUUUUAUCCAGUUUGACCUCGGAUCAGGUAGGGAUACCCGCUGAACUUAAGCAUAUCAAUAAGCGGAGGA
This 345-nucleotide unclassified non-coding RNA is filed under the name soil metagenome. RNAcentral describes it as "partial contains 5.8S ribosomal RNA, internal transcribed spacer 2, and large subunit ribosomal RNA". The stretch from base 1 to 119 matches the Rfam family "5.8S ribosomal RNA", at positions 35 to 154 of the family's 154-position model. The record is from RNAcentral.